GGGGGUACAGCUCAGUGGUAGAGUGCACGCUUGGCAUGCACGAGGUCCUGGGUUCAAUGCCCAGCGCCUCUG
Transfer RNA from Camelus ferus (Wild Bactrian camel), 72 nucleotides. It matches the Rfam family "tRNA". From Rfam's summary of the family: Transfer RNA (tRNA) molecules are approximately 80 nucleotides in length. The record is from Rfam. NCBI's taxonomy places the organism in Eukaryota, Metazoa, Chordata, Mammalia, Artiodactyla, Camelidae.